Carcharodon carcharias (great white shark) is the source of this 536-nucleotide long non-coding RNA. RefSeq lists it as uncharacterized. The record is from RefSeq and is a predicted model, not a curated record. NCBI's taxonomy places the organism in Eukaryota, Metazoa, Chordata, Chondrichthyes, Lamniformes, Lamnidae. The transcript is spliced from 2 exons.
AUCUAGUUAUUUCAUAAAUGGGAACAUGAAGUCGUGGUUGCUAACUCGGCACUGAAGGCGAAAUUAAAAGGGCUUGAAAAAAUGCCGUUAACAAUCACCACAUCUGCAGCUGGUAACAUUGUUCAAGAGGCUCUCCUUGUUUUAUACGCGAACAAAAAGCGUCCUCAAUAAUCGCCUGCAGUGCAGCUGCUACAGACAGAGAAACCACCCAUGAAGAUAAUCCGCAUUAUCUAAAGUACCAGCAGAAGCCAUUUUGGUCCAUACAUGGCGCGUCGAAAUCUGCAGCUUCGUCUUUAGUCAAUGUAAUGAAAUAAGAUAAUUUGCUGAGGUUCGAUAGUUGGACGUUAACAAUAAGGGGCACUGAAGGCUGCUGAGCGCCUUCACUGAUUAAAGUGAGAUUAUAUCAAAAGGUAUAACAGUGCAAUGGUGUGAAUUAUGUUUUUAUGAUGUAUUGAAGGAAUAAUGAAUACAGUUAGAUUGUCUGACGAGGGGUGUUUUAAAGCGAUUCUAACGAAUAAAAUUGGUUCAAACUUAAA